This 425-nucleotide ribosomal RNA is filed under the name uncultured Spirosoma sp. Its description in RNAcentral is "bacterial SSU rRNA". It matches the Rfam family "Bacterial small subunit ribosomal RNA", at positions 354 to 776 of the family's 1533-position model. The record is from RNAcentral. Lineage: Bacteria; Pseudomonadati; Bacteroidota; Cytophagia; Cytophagales; Cytophagaceae.
GUAGGGAAUAUUGGGCAAUGGAGGCAACUCUGACCCAGCCAUGCCGCGUGCAGGAUGAAGGCGCUCAGCGUUGUAAACUGCUUUUACUCAUGAAGAAUGUAGUCUAUGCGUAGGCUAGUGACGGUAAUGAGGGAAUAAGCACCGGCUAACUCCGUGCCAGCAGCCGCGGUAAUACGGAGGGUGCAAGCGUUGUCCGGAUUUAUUGGGUUUAAAGGGUGCGUAGGUGGUUUUCUAAGUCUGGUUUGAAAGUAGGUCGCUUAACGAUCUAAUGUGGCUGGAAACUGGAGGACUUGAAUGGGUUGGCGGUAGCCGGAACGGGUCAUGUAGCGGUGAAAUGCAUAGAUAUGACCCAGAACACCGAUUGCGAAGGCAGGCUACUACGACCUGAUUGACACUGAGGCACGAGAGCAUGGGUAGCGAACAGG